UGAGUGGGCAGCACAUCCAGAAGCAGGACCCAACAGGAGGAGCACGUGGUUGAGCCUUCAGCCAUGAGAGCAGCUACGGCUCAUUGGCUAUAUUUAGAAGCUUAACUGGAGCACAAAAGGAGGAAAUGGACAUUCUUAAUAGUCAGAGAGAGAACACACGGUGUCCCUACACCAAGAGCCUGCUUUCUUCACCAAGUGCUAGCAGUAUCCAUGAAGUGUCUGGGUCACAGGGAGUGAGCAGGAGCCUUCUAUACUGCCACGAUACAUUGCUCACAUGAAAGCUGAAAUUUGUGAGUGCUUUGUCCGAUCACUACAAGCAAUGAAAGAAGUAAUGGAGAAACGUACAGAAGCUCACAGAGGACAGAUGUUACAUCAGAUUAGUACUCCAGAUCCUGCUGAAGAGACCUACUCAAC
RNAcentral lists this long non-coding RNA (414 nucleotides) under Gallus gallus (chicken). Its description in RNAcentral is "long non-coding RNA NONGGAT007979". The record is from RNAcentral. Lineage: Eukaryota; Metazoa; Chordata; Aves; Galliformes; Phasianidae.